UUGGUUUCUUCUUCUUGCGAUUCGGAUUUACAACAGCCGUUGGAUUUGCGAAACGGCAAUUGAACACACCUGUCUAUCUGUUUCUCUUCCGCAUUGUCCUAAAAAUUAAAAAAUUUUAUAAUGAUCCCUCCAAGAAAAAAUCUGUCUCAUAUUAUACCUGAUUCGAUAAUGUAACCCAUGAAAAACAUGCCACCAAAAAAUAAAGCUAGUAGAAGAAGUACUAGAGUAACUGGAU
Long non-coding RNA from Trachymyrmex cornetzi, 235 nucleotides. RefSeq lists it as uncharacterized. The record is from RefSeq and is a predicted model, not a curated record. Lineage: Eukaryota; Metazoa; Arthropoda; Insecta; Hymenoptera; Formicidae. The transcript has 3 exons.